ACGGGGUGCAGCAGGCGCGAAAACUUGGCAAUGCGAGAAAUCGUGACCAGGGAACUCCAAGUGCAUCGGGUAAGACCGGUGCUUUUCUUGACUCUAAAUAGGUCUUGGAAUAAGGGGUGGGUAAGGACGGUGCCAGCCGCCGCGGUAAUACCGGCGCCUCAAGUGGUAGUCGCUUUUAUUGGGCCUAAAACGUCCGUAGCCGGUCUGAUACAUUCGUGGGUAAAUCAACCAGCUUAACUGGUUGAAUUCUGCGAGGACGGUCAGACUUGGGACCGGGAGAGGUGUGGGGUACGCUCAGGGUAGGGGUAAAAUCCUGUCAUCCUGAGCGGACCACCUGUUGCGAAGGCGCCACACUAGAACGGAUCCGACGGUCAGGGACGAAGCCUAGGGGCACGAACCGGAUUAGAUACCCGGGUAGUCCUAGGUGUAAACGCUGUGGA
Molecule: ribosomal RNA, 440 nt
Filed under: uncultured archaeon
Lineage: Archaea
Description: bacterial SSU rRNA
Rfam family: Archaeal small subunit ribosomal RNA
Source: RNAcentral